UGUAAGCAAGUUUUGUUG
RNAcentral lists this small nuclear RNA (18 nucleotides) under Arabidopsis thaliana (thale cress). Its description in RNAcentral is "snRNA_18244". The record is from RNAcentral. Lineage: Eukaryota; Viridiplantae; Streptophyta; Magnoliopsida; Brassicales; Brassicaceae.